UACGAAGGGUGCAAGCGUUACUCGGAAUUACUGGGCGUAAAGCGUGCGUAGGUGGUGAGUUAAGUCUGAUGUGAAAUCCCCGGGCUCAACCUGGGAAUGGCAUUGGAUACUGGCUCGCUAGAGUGCGGUAGAGGGUGGUGGAAUUCCCGGUGUAGCAGUGAAAUGCGUAGAUAUCUGGAGGAAUACCGGUGGCGAAGGCGGCAUCCUGGACCGACAUUGACGCUGAACGGCGAAAGCUAGGGGAGCAAACGGG
This 253-nucleotide ribosomal RNA is filed under the name uncultured bacterium. RNAcentral describes it as "partial 16S ribosomal RNA". It matches the Rfam family "Bacterial small subunit ribosomal RNA", at positions 524 to 776 of the family's 1533-position model. The record is from RNAcentral.